This 253-nucleotide ribosomal RNA is filed under the name uncultured bacterium. Its description in RNAcentral is "partial 16S ribosomal RNA". It matches the Rfam family "Bacterial small subunit ribosomal RNA", at positions 524 to 776 of the family's 1533-position model. The record is from RNAcentral.
UACAGAGGGGGCAAGCGUUGUCCGGAUUUACUGGGCGUACAGCGCGCGCAGGCGGCCACGUAUGUGACCGGUGACAUCCUCGGGCUCAACCGGAGGCGGCCCGGUUAGACAGCAUGGCUGGAGGAAGGGAGAGGGAGGUGGAAUACCCGGUGGAGCGGUGAAAUGCGUAGAGAUCGGGUGGAACACCAGCGGCGAAGGCGGCAUCCUGGCCCUUAACUGACGCUGAGGCGCGAUAGCGUGGGGAGCAAACGGG